This 273-nucleotide ribosomal RNA is filed under the name uncultured Staphylococcus sp. RNAcentral describes it as "partial 16S ribosomal RNA". It matches the Rfam family "Bacterial small subunit ribosomal RNA", at positions 89 to 355 of the family's 1533-position model. Lineage: Bacteria; Bacillati; Bacillota; Bacilli; Caryophanales; Staphylococcaceae. The record is from RNAcentral.
ACGUUAGCGGCGGACGGGUGAGUAACACGUGGGUAACCUACCUAUAAGACUGGGAUAACUUCGGGAAACCGGAGCUAAUACCGGAUAAUAUUUCGAACCGCAUGGUUCGAUAGUGAAAGAUGGUUUUGCUAUCACUUAUAGAUGGACCUGCGCCGUAUUAGCUAGUUGGUAAGGUAACGGCUUACCGAGGAGACGAUACGUAGCCGACCUGAGAGGGUGAUCGGCCACACUGGAACUGAGACACGGUCCAGACUCCUACGGGAGGCAGCAGUA